This 66-nucleotide transfer RNA is filed under the name Melinna cristata. RNAcentral describes it as "tRNA-Met". Lineage: Eukaryota; Metazoa; Annelida; Polychaeta; Terebellida; Melinnidae. The record is from RNAcentral.
AGUAAGAUAGACUAACUCAAGUCAUUGGGUUCAUGCCCCGCAAAUGAAUAUAAUAUUCUCUUACUU